AAACUUUCACACAACUGUUUAAAAAGUUAUGCAGACUUUUACUUUGGACUAAAACGUUCUUUUACUUUAUAUUUUUAUUGUACAUGAAGCAGAGACCAGUGUCCUUCUAGGGUUAUUAAGAAAUAUUUACGUUAUAUUUAAGUUAAAUCUUGGCAUUCAUUUUUUUGCUUUGCUAAAUUGUAUUUUUGGUAAUAUAGAACAGACAGCCAAUUACUGAUAUGAAAAAUCGUAAGAAUAAUAUUAAACGAAGAUCCAUACAAUGUAAAUUGGAGAAACUGAUUACAUUACAACGAACGAGUGAAUGAUCAGUGAAAUACAAUCUAAGAAAUGUAUGGAUGCUGAGUCGUUUACAACACAUGUAAAAAAGUGCGCCGAAUAUAAUUUUUUUAAAAAAAUCUGCCGAAUUUAUGGAUACUGUGUCGUUGAUAGCAAGCACAAACUGUGUAUUUGCUUUCCCCUCUUGAAAAUUUUAGCGAAUGUGUGCAUAAGAGUUCUGUAACCAUGGAACCAAUAUACGUCUUAUGUGCCUUUAACAGAACACUGUGUGGUGAAAAUCAAUAUAAGAAUUGCGUCAAUGCUGUGGCGGUUUCACGCGCUGUUAGUAAAAGUAUGGAUGCUGUUUCUAACAAAACAUUAUAAUCAAUGCAAAAUGUUAUUUUUACAUUUGUUAAUGCUCGGGAACUGCAAUCUUUCUAAAAAGAGUAUGAAUGUCAUGUCAAGCAAAAAAGGUGUACUAAGCUAUGUUGUGGAAAUCAUUGCAGCAAAUAUAAGGUCGUGUUCCCAUAAGUUCUUAAAAAGAUGAUGGAUUUAGUGCAGCUCUGUCGGUAGAGCGUUUGAAUCAUCUCCUCUACUUGAGAUUAUAAGUUCAAUGUCCCCCCAUUGUCUAGUUAGUUUGUCAUUUCAUAAAGAUUUUUGUAGCAAUGGGAGCUAAACACUGGAAACCUGGUCCAUCCUGAAAUCCAUUGAGCACAGACCACAUUAAAUAUAAAUCACCAUCAGUGGUUUGAGGCAGAAUUGUAAGAGAAUUUACAUACUGGAUGGUUCUUUUGUUAUGAAAGUUUUUUUGCAGUAACUUUAAUGACUAAGGUGUCUUUUUAUGCCACUACCUGUACACAUGAUAGAGCUUAAAAGUACUGCCAAACUCUUUUUCCAUGUAUUG
This is a long non-coding RNA of Hydractinia symbiolongicarpus, 1159 nucleotides long. RefSeq lists it as uncharacterized. The transcript has 2 exons. Lineage: Eukaryota; Metazoa; Cnidaria; Hydrozoa; Anthoathecata; Hydractiniidae. The record is from RefSeq and is a predicted model, not a curated record.